UGGUGGAGUGAUUUGUCUGGUUAAUUCCGUUAACGAACGAGACCUCGACCUGCUAAAUAGUGUGGCGGUGCCUCACGGCACGGUUUGCACACUUCUUAGAGGGACUAUCGGUGGUUAGCCGGUGGAAGUUCGAGGCAAUAACA
Molecule: ribosomal RNA, 143 nt
Filed under: uncultured eukaryote
Lineage: Eukaryota
Description: partial 18S ribosomal RNA
Rfam family: Eukaryotic small subunit ribosomal RNA
Source: RNAcentral